UCAACGUUGAACCCUAAUCUCGUGUUUCACUCUCCCUCAGUCCCUUGCCUCUCUUUCCUUGCCUAUCUCUCCUUGAGUCCCUGAUAUUCAGAUCUUUUCCCUCUCUCCUCAUUCUCUCUACAAACACUUCCCCAGGCCAUUAUUUCUAGGGUUUAAGCUUUCAUCUUCCUUUUUCAUAAUUCACUCCAUGAACUACCAAACCAUUCUCACUUCUAAUUAUCAAUUUCUAAUCGAAAUUUACAAAGGGGAUGAACUUCUGAAGUUUUUGCAAAUUAGGGUUUCAAUUCUUCAGAAAAGGUCAGAUCUUCGCGAUAUUUUGAUCAAUUUGAUGCGAUUUUAAGCUAUAUUUGUUGAUUGUUGAUGGGAUUCUGUAUGACCAUCUCCCAUGGAGGGUCAGCCAUUUGUUUUUUCAUGAUUUAUAUGACUUUGAUUGGUUUUUCCUGGCGAGUUUCCAUACUAAACGGGCUGUUUUUUUUGUAGUAUUUCAAAGUAAGGAUGAUCCGGGACUAUGGAUUUCGUUUCAUUACCUCUCCUCUCUCUACUCACUAUCAAUUCGUCCUAUUUCUCGGUUUUCACCAUUUUCUUCGAUCUCUCUUUUCUGACAUUAUUCGAUUUUUUUUUUGUUGAUUUUUUGAUGGCAGCCAACAAUAAGAUGUUUGUGAUUCAAAAGAUGGUGCUGAGCUUCUUGACUUGGUUCGCAAGGUUCUUUCUGUUGUUGGUUUACUUCAAGAUGAAGUUGAGGUAUCUGUCAUGAAAGUUGAGAAGGCUCCGUUAGAGUCAUUUGCUGAUAUUGGGGGCUUGGAUCCUCAAAUACAAGAGAUCAAAGAAGCAGUUGAGCUACCAUUGACUCAUCCUGAACUCUAUGAAGACAUUGGUUAAACCUCCCAAGGGAGUCAUUCUUUAUGGAGAACCUGGUACUGGGAAAACACUUCUCGCAAAGAAUCAAUUUCUCAGCUUCAAAAGAAGUUAUAUAUAUAAAGCCUUAGAGAGAGAAUCUAACCCCAAAAGUACCAACGUUUUGUAGCAUCUGAUAAAACAUGAGAGAUAAGUUAGAAGUAACGCCAAGCAAGGUCAGAACUUUCCAAAUCCACCACCAGAUUCUGCCCGAAAUCACUACUUUUGCUAGAACAUCUUUGUCCCUUUUUCUCACCAUUGCUGCCAUUUUUACCGUUUAUUUUCUUCAUGAAAGUUAUAUAUCUCAAAGAGUGGUUCACUUUAGGCUCAAGAAUCGAUCAGUUGAUUUGGAUAUUUAUGCUAUGAGAGUCUCUGACAUUCCAAACCUGCUGCACCCCCUGAGAUUAACUAUCAUUCGGGAUUCUCUGGCCAAAAUGUUCAGCCCCAGCAGUGGGUCGCAAAAGGUCCUGGGAUCUUAAGGUCCCUUCCAUUGAACUUCAACGUGUAUGCUUGUCAAAGUGCCGGGGAUAGCUUUGAGAGGCUGGGGCAAUUUGGCAGUAGAGAGAGGCAGGGGCAAUUUACAAUAGAGAGAGGACGGGGAAUUUGACAAUAGAGAGAGGCAAGGGUGGGCAGGAAACAGUUUUGGUGAAGAAAGAGAAAUCACCGAAACUCAAUCCAACAGAACUCAGGAAGCUUUUGUGUGAGCUUGGAGAUCAUUUGUUUACAGGCACCUGUUACUUCAGUCCUAAAAACCACAUGACUAAAGAUCCUAGGCCAAAGGUACCAUCAGCAUGAUCAAUAUCUAUCAGCAACAUGCAGUUCUUGACUUCUUUCUGAUAGUCUUUCCAAUAUCACCUCGAAAGAUGCAAGUAAAGUAUGCCGAGCCAAUUCACUGACAACACUCAAUAUCUCCAACCUCAUAGUUGUCAGUCUGUCACGGUAUCCUGAGAAUCUGCAGUAGAACCUCCUCACCAUUUGUCCCUGUUUUAAUCUCCUCCUAUCCAUUGGAAAGAUGAUAUACAAAAAACCAGAAUAAUUUUGAUUGUAUACCCUUAUCUCAACUCGACUUCAAUGCUUGCUUCUGAAGAGAGAAUCCCACUCAUGUUUUUCGACUUUCCCUGUCAAGUAAUACUUUUAAGUUGACUCCUCAGCAAAUUAACCUGCUUCUUGGGUCCUUUCCUUGUUGAAAUUGUCUCCUAGCAUCCUCAAUCUCUUGAGAACUCGCUUGAGAGCGAUAUCAAAUUGAACUGUCGAUGAGCUUUAUAUUUGAGUUAAACCUUCAUUUUCCACAUAUUGAACUGUGUUAUGAGUGUCUGGCAUUUUGUUACCAAGUCUUGGUGGAGCCUGGGAGCUAGGGAGAUCAUGCAUGUAAAUGUAAUGACCCGACAAGGAUAUGAUCUUGCUGUUGAGAUUUCCAAUUAGAUUUUGGCUUUCCUACAACUCUUGUGUUUAGGCUGAGGUCUUUACCUUUGAUCUACCUGACUACAUUUCUAUACUCAAAGUCAGGCAGCAAUAAGAAGCAUAGAGCUGCAGCAACAACAAAGCAGAAAUUCUCACACCAAAAAGAAAAAAAACAAAGCAGAAUUUCUUCAUAGAAAACCUGAAAUCCUUUUUCAUAAUUAUGAGUUAGAAGGACACUUUUCUGUAAUGGAUAGAAAUUUGGUACAAUUCAGUUGAGCUCUUUUCUUAUUGGCUACCAUAGGCGGAUCGCGGAUCGGAUGCACGUUGUAUUGUUUAUUACUUAGGUAGUUCUGGAUGAAAAUAAAAAAAAUUGGAUUGUCAACAGUUGAAGUUGGCAAUGUGAUUACGUCGGACUAUAAAUAACUCUUGAAUCUAUGGCCUUCAUACGUUGAGUAUCCUUGGAUCAUCAGGAAAUUGGUUUCAUCAAGCUGUUUACCUCAAAAUCGAUCGAUUUCUUCAGUUCCCUGGAUGAAUUUGGAGAGAAGAACAGCAAUUACAAAGCUCAGUCAUACAGAAAAGAACAAAAAUACUGACGAAAAGGAGGAAGAAGAAACUUCAAUUACUGGUACUGAUCCUUGAAGUCGUCGCAACACCCCAAUGAUGAAGAAUUAAAGUAUCAAAAGUAUCUAUUAUUUGCAAGAUCUUCAAAAGUACCAGUAAAUGCUAAACUUGACCACUUAAAGGUUGGAUACCUUGAUUAUUGCAAGAAACGAGGCUUUGUCACCUGCUAUAUAAGCGCAUGUCCACCAACGUAUGGAGAAGAAUAAUUUUAUAUUGUCAUCUAGAGACACAAAAAACACCCAGGUGAAAUGGGAUUCUUAUGCUUGUACUACAAUGAGAGAUGUCAACCAUUUAGCAGCUUGAGCAGUUAGGAAGCACAUAGCAAAGUGUUAUGGUGAUGAUGAAGGUGAUGAGGUGGAAUUAAAAGAGUUUUAUACUUUUAUGACUACAACAGCAGGAACUUCCAUAAAGAUCAUGAUCAUUGCUUAUAAAAAAAGCAACAAGCAUCAAAAGUUGAAUGUUAUUUUGUUGUCAAAAUCUUUGUUCUCUGUGUAAUGUUUUGAUUCGUGUUCUUCUGCUAUAUUUCUCAAGAUUGGUAGGAGUUAUUAAUUUUGUUUUUUUUGUAAGAAUGAUACUUCAUAUAUGUUACGUUUGAAGUUGAGAUAAAAUUCGUAGCUUGCUUUAUAUGGAAUACAACGCUCAAAAUGACUAUUAAAUGAAAAACGUAUUUAAUUACACUUUUCGAUUUCUUA
Spinacia oleracea (spinach) is the source of this 3608-nucleotide long non-coding RNA. RefSeq lists it as uncharacterized. The transcript is spliced from 11 exons. Lineage: Eukaryota; Viridiplantae; Streptophyta; Magnoliopsida; Caryophyllales; Amaranthaceae. The record is from RefSeq and is a predicted model, not a curated record.